This is a long non-coding RNA of Esox lucius (northern pike), 423 nucleotides long. Lineage: Eukaryota; Metazoa; Chordata; Actinopteri; Esociformes; Esocidae. The record is from Ensembl.
GAUUUAACAGGGAGGUCGAUUUAACAGGGAGGUCGAUUUAACAGGGAGGUCGAUUUAACAGGGAGGUCGAUUUAACAGGGAGGGUGAUUUAACAGGGAGGGUUGAUUUAACAGAGAGGUCGAUUUAACAGGGAGGAUGAUUUAACAGGGAGGUCGAUUUAACAGGGAGGAUGAUUUAACAGGGAGGAUGAUUUAACAGGGAGGUCGAUUUAACAGGGAGGUCGAUUUAACAGGGAGGAUGAUUUAACAGGGAGGUCGAUUUAACAGGGAGGUCGAUUUAACAGGGAGGUUGAUUUUACAGGGAGGUCGAUUUUUACGUUUUAUAUAUUCACAAACGUCUCUGUAUGCAAGUCUUUAUGUGCACAAGAAAUGUAAAAACAAACCAAACAUACACCUCAGCACAAAAUAAAGACUAAUGAAACAG